This 242-nucleotide ribosomal RNA is filed under the name uncultured bacterium. RNAcentral describes it as "partial 16S ribosomal RNA". It matches the Rfam family "Bacterial small subunit ribosomal RNA", at positions 108 to 334 of the family's 1533-position model. The record is from RNAcentral.
GAGUAACGCGUGGGUAACCUACCCUUGAAUCUGGGAUAACCCCGUGAAAACGGGACUAAUACCGGAUAUCGUCCCUUUGGCUGUGGCCUUUGGGAUGAAAGGUGACCUCUUCAUGAAAGUUGUCGUUCAGGGAGGGGCCCGCGUACCAUUAGCUUGUUGGUGGGGUAAUGGCCUACCAAGGCGACGAUGGUUAGCUGGUCUGAGAGGAUGAUCAGCCACACUGGAACUGGAACACGGUCCAG